GUUCCUGUAGUUGAAUUACAACGAUGUUUCUUCAAGUCAUUAGUCUCAGUUAAAGUCUGAGCAGGAAUU
RNAcentral lists this transfer RNA (69 nucleotides) under Phenacobius mirabilis. Its description in RNAcentral is "tRNA-Glu". The record is from RNAcentral. Lineage: Eukaryota; Metazoa; Chordata; Actinopteri; Cypriniformes; Leuciscidae.